UCAGCUGUCACAUUUGGGCAUGCUUUAAUUCCUUGUUCUGGUAAUCUCAACAAGUGAGCCUUAACCCUAGUGUAGGAACUCUUGAAAACCUUGCUACAGAAAUUGCAUUGCCAAGAAAUAUUUCCACCUCCGUCACGAAUUUUCUCAUAUCUAGUGACAUAAUUUCAAAGAGGCUUAUUCGUGGCUUCUUCAUUGGAAGGUACCCUACUAGCCCCAACAGAAACCAUUUUCCCAAAUGAUAUCUCUGAAAAAAGUUGCAAUUAACACUGAAUGAUAAAUAAUCUAUGGAUAUAAUAAGGACCCAAGGUAAUAAGGCUUUUAGGAAUUUCAUUAGGCCCUAAUAACCUAAUUUUACAUUUGAAAAUUCAAACUUUCAAUUCCAAUAAGCCACAUGUUUACCACAUUGAAUCCCCCAAGUUAUUAUCCCAAUUUACAAUAUCUAACUAGUGCAAAUAACAUGAAGAUAAAAAUGUAUCCACAUUUAAAGCUGUAACGUGUUUAGGUAGCACCCAAAAUUGUAGCAUCCAAAAUUCCAAUGAUUCCGACUAAAAAAAAUGUCCAGAAACCAGCUUAGUAGUUCAGUAAGUAAACAAUCUAACUGCAUCAAACAAGCCUAGUACGCUGAAAAAACAUUUCACCGCAUCUCCACCUUACAAUCAAAAUAAAAUAGCUCCCACAAUGGCUUUGUUGGUCCCGACAGGAAUUUUAGCCUAAACUAUCUAAAGGCCAAAAAUGAAAACUUUAUAACAGUCUCUUCAGUACUAAAAUAUAGUGAAGCAUACAAAUAGCAAAAAUACUUGGCACAAAGAUAUGAAUAACACUCCAUACCAAUAAAAAAUUACAAAACCCACCAAUUGUUACGGGGCGAACUAAGUAUCAAAUAGUCCAAAGAUAUUUUUACUGUGAUAAUCAGACAAAGAAUUUGAGGAAAUACUGAAGCUCCUGUCCUGCGAACCUAAUUUAGUAACUAGUUCACACUUCACAUGGAGUAUAAAAGGGAAACAAGCAAUGAGCUUUCAUGUAGCUUAAACCCUACUUUUGUUUCUGAUAAACUGAAUAAAAAUAAAGGAUUAGGAAGGAAAAAAAACUUCUGUGGAUUAUGUCUGUUACCCAGUUCCCAAAAAAAUGCAAAAAACUGAACUGGGAGAGACCAUGUAAAUAUAUAACAUAUACAUAUACAUAUAUAUUAUAGAGAGAAAGUACCUUUUGGCCUUUGCUGAGUUGCUGAGAGGAGCCGGCAAUUUGGGUCCGACGGAAGGGAAGCUGGGGGAUUCUUGAUACUGGUGCACCGAGUAAGCGACAGGUACUAACUGCUCUGGGCUUCUUCUACCUAUCAAAUUGAAAAAGUGAAAACUGAAAAGACUCCUAAUCUAAU
This 1375-nucleotide long non-coding RNA is filed under the name Panax ginseng (ginseng). Its description in RNAcentral is "long non-coding RNA (PGIN_LNC009343)". The record is from RNAcentral. Lineage: Eukaryota; Viridiplantae; Streptophyta; Magnoliopsida; Apiales; Araliaceae.